CACAUCUCAUUGAAACACCGGUUCCCGAUUAGCGAAGUUAAGCAACGUCGAGCCUGGUCAGUACCUAGAUGGGUGACCGCUUGGAAAUGCCA
Non-coding RNA from Acanthosepion pharaonis, 92 nucleotides. The record is from the annotation of a GenBank genome assembly. NCBI's taxonomy places the organism in Eukaryota, Metazoa, Mollusca, Cephalopoda, Sepiida, Sepiidae.